AUGUAUCUGAUUAGUCUUCUCGUUUUCUGUUCGAUUGAAUCUGUGACGAUCAGGGAGGAGUUUGCAGUGCACUGUGACUGUAUUCAUCAUCUUCGGAUCAAUCUUAGGUGUCAUCACAGGUUGGUGAUCCUUCGCUCUUUCUUCGAUUUCUUGAUACGAAUAGGGGGAACGGAGAAAGUAGAAUCGGAAUCCCAAGGAAGUGUGGUUGGAGGCGUUAACAUGACGAUUGAAUUUUGCCUUGAAUAUACUUAG
This is a non-coding RNA of Vicia faba (fava bean), 252 nucleotides long. The record is from the annotation of a GenBank genome assembly. NCBI's taxonomy places the organism in Eukaryota, Viridiplantae, Streptophyta, Magnoliopsida, Fabales, Fabaceae.